RNAcentral lists this ribosomal RNA (404 nucleotides) under uncultured Eubacteriales bacterium. RNAcentral's name for it is "bacterial SSU rRNA". It matches the Rfam family "Bacterial small subunit ribosomal RNA", at positions 356 to 774 of the family's 1533-position model. The record is from RNAcentral. Lineage: Bacteria; Bacillati; Bacillota; Clostridia; Eubacteriales.
GGGGAAUAUUGCACAAUGGAGGAAACUCUGAUGCAGCGACGCCGCGUGAGUGAAGAAGGUCUUCGGAUCGUAAAACUCUGUCCUUGGUGACGAAAAAAAUGACGGUAGCCAAGGAGGAAGCCCCGGCUAACUACGUGCCAGCAGCCGCGGUAAUACGUAGGUGGCAAGCGUUGUCCGGAUUUACUGGGCGUAAAGAGUAUGUAGGCGGACAUUUAAGUCAGAUGUGAAAUCCCCGGGCUUAACCUGGGAGCUGCAUUUGAUACUGGGUGUCUAGAGUGUAGGAGAGGAAAGUGGAAUUCCUAGUGUAGCGGUGAAAUGCGUAGAGAUUAGGAAGAACACCAGUGGCGAAGGCGACUUUCUGGACUAUAACUGACGCUGAGAUACGAAAGCGUGGGGAGCAAACA